Molecule: long non-coding RNA, 1500 nt
Filed under: Cricetulus griseus (Chinese hamster)
Lineage: Eukaryota; Metazoa; Chordata; Mammalia; Rodentia; Cricetidae
Description: lncRNA (ENSCGRG00015038568.1)
Source: RNAcentral
GGUUAAUUGUCACACCCAAUGCCAACAGACAAGACUUCCAGAGGAUUCGCUUGGUUUUGUUUUGUGGCUUUUUUUUUUCUUUUUUUUUACAACUUUAAAUACGGAAUAUAAAUAAACUUUACAUUUAAAAAAUAAAAAGAAAGCCCCCAAAAAUAUAAUCACCAACUUUACAAACUGAAGGAAGUGGACCUGGGAGGGGGAAGAGAAAGUGCAGGGGGAGGUGGGGGGAGAAGGUGGGUGCAUCAACCCCAGUCCUCCUAAGGGCUCUAGAGCGCUCCCUCUCUCUCCCACUUCCAGUCUACCAGCUGGCUUCCUGGAAGAAGGUACCAGGUAAAACCACAAAAGGUUUGAGGGGCAAUGUGCACGCAGGAGAGAGGACAGCCAGGACUGCCCCUCCCUUGAAGAUGUCCGACUGUCCCACACCUGCCCGGAAGGGAACAGCUGAAGCUGAGGCUGGGGCAGUGGAGGCAAUGGGCAGUAAACCACGUUGCUACCCCAGCACCACAGGUUCAGUGCGAGCUCCAGGCUGGGUCAGGGCACACACAGCCAGUCCACAUAGGGCCUCGGUGUGAAUUAAAACAAGGUUUCCUUUGCUCAGAGGCUUGACCUACAUCUGCCAGAAAGUCAUAAUAAAUAAGACAGAAUUCUCCACAUGCAGUGCAGUGCACAUGGGCAAUACACAUCCCACGUAACCUUACCGGGUAGUCUUGGCUGGAGCCAAAUAUAAUAGACAGGUCUCCUGUCCUAAGGAAGAAUGACAGGGUCAUUCAAAGCCUCCAUCAGGACCCAUGGUGGAGCAGACUGAAGGGUGCACGAGGAAGAAGACACUGAGUGGAGGUAGAGAAAGGAAACAGAAGUGGAUGUAGGGGACGUGGGGAGAGGCAGGGGACGUGGCCCAGGUCACAAGCACACUGCACCUCCAAUCCAUCAGAGAAGGCGUGUGGCCACCCGCCCAGAGGAGUUCAUGUCUUCCAUGAUUUCAUACUUAUAAAAUGAAAAGCCACUAUGGGCUGAGGGGACAGGGAGAGAUGAGUGGCAGCUAUGGGUGCCAUGAGGGUUCCUCUAGUCUGUGCUCCCCAUGUGGUCCUGGCAUGGGACUACAAGGGACCCUAGCCUGCCUGAAAGUGUUCCCUGCUGGCUGGCCAGGGGUCCAGGAACCAGGCUGGACAUGCAGAGGUCCUCUGGCCAAGUCCCAGGUUCCUGGGGCCAGUCCACAGUCCCCUGUGAGGCUCCUGCCCACUUGCCCCAGGUUCUUGGGGUCAAGGAAAGAAGCAGCAUGGAGUAGAGUCCUUUGUUUGCUUCUGGAGCCGCAGGGCAGGCAGAAACAGUGCUGCUGGUGGAGGUGGCCGGGCACGCAGGGUGAGGGAAGCACCAUUGGCCGUCCGAAUCAGGCAUCGAGACAGACGGACGAGGGGAACAACAUUAUCACUCCAAGGACCCCAUGGGGGCAAUACAGCAAAUACCAUAUUAAAUAACCCUGCGGGCAGAACAGAGAGACAC